UCUUGCGGGACAGAGCGAGCGGACCUGGGAGCGCGCGCGCGCGCGCGUGCGUUUGCAUCCCGCGCAAGAGCAGCCUGGGGGAGCGCCCCCAAAGCGCCUCUCCUCCCGUCUGCGGCGGGCGUGGGGCGCGGCACCCCGGCUCUUGCCGCGAGCGCGCCGCGCCGCUCCUUCCGCCGCGCGCCUGGGCCCCGGGGGCGCCCCUAAGCCCACUAGGGUGCUCCGGCCGGCGCCACGCACCGCCGCUCCCACCGCCUUCCCGACCCGGGCUGCUGGCGGCGCUGCGGCGGGGGAGAAGAAUUGGCGAGCGCCCCUGGUCUCGGUGGUGGCGGCGGGGUGCCCGAGGGAGGCGAUCGGUGCAGCUCCGCACAGUCUUACCACGCCUGCCCACGCGAUCCGAGGGCUUCGGGUUUCCAGCUCUCCGCGGCUCCCGCUGGCGCGCCCGGUGUCCGAGCCGGGGCGAGAGGCGUCCUCCGGUGUGUGCGGGGUGGCCACGGCUGCCCCCACGUGCGCAGUUUCCGAGGGAGCGUGCCGCCGGGAAGCGCUAACCGCGCUAGCUGGCGCCGAGAAACGUGGCCCCGGCUCGGCCGCGCGCCCUCCGGCCCGGGUGUGUGUGGCUUCUGCUUCCCGGGUCUCUGGGCAGGCGGAGGAAUGGCAGGGGUUCCGCUGGUUCUUGGCAGCUCUCUUGGGAAUACCGGUUCAGCGACGCCCGACGUGAUCCCCUUUUCUCAGGGUUUCUGCACCGCUUCCCCCAGAAGUUCGGGCGGCCGAGCAGCCUAGAGGCAGGGAGCCCUGCAGUGACAUUUGCCUUCUCUUUUUGUUGCAGGGAGGAGGGCAGGCGAGAAGAGCGUGGGCUAUCCAACUCUUACUGUGGGUUGUGUAAUAGGCACUCGGUUUGCCUGUCACCUCCCCAGGCAUAACUCAUCGAAUUCAUCCAGCAAACCCAGGGAUUAACAGAUGAAGAAACGGAGGCAAA
This is a long non-coding RNA of Lutra lutra (Eurasian river otter), 973 nucleotides long. RefSeq lists it as uncharacterized. The record is from RefSeq and is a predicted model, not a curated record. Lineage: Eukaryota; Metazoa; Chordata; Mammalia; Carnivora; Mustelidae. The transcript is spliced from 2 exons.